RNAcentral lists this ribosomal RNA (408 nucleotides) under uncultured microorganism. RNAcentral's name for it is "bacterial SSU rRNA". It matches the Rfam family "Bacterial small subunit ribosomal RNA", at positions 509 to 917 of the family's 1533-position model. The record is from RNAcentral.
CAGCCGCCGCGGUAAUACCGGCGGCCCGAGUGGCGGCCACUAUUAUUGGGCCUAAAGCGUCCGUAGCCGGGCUGGUAAGUCCCCCGGGAAAUCUGGCGGCUUAACCGUCAGAAUUCCGGGGGAUACUGCCAGCCUAGGGACCGGGAGAGGCCGGGGGUAUUCCCGGGGUAGGGGUGAAAUCCUGUAAUCCCGGGAGGAACACCAGUGGCGAAGGCGGCCUCCUGGCCCGUUCCUGACGCUGAGACCCGAAAGCGUGGGGAGAAAACCGGAUUAGAUACCCGGGUAGUCCACGCCGUAAACGGUGGGCACUAGGUGUGGGGGGUUAAUCCCUCCGUGCCGAAGCUAACGCAUUAAGUGCCCCGCCUGGGGAGUACGGCCGCAAGGUUGAAACUUAAAGGAAUUGGCGGG